CGAACGGCUGAGUAACACGUGGGCAACCUGCCCUUUGCACUGGGAUAGCCUCGGGAAACCGAGGUUAAUACCGGAUACUCCAUAUCCAUCGCAUGAUAGAUAUGGGAAAGCUCCGGCGGCAAAGGAUGGGCCCGCGGCCUGUUAGCUAGUUGGUGGGGUAGUGGCCUACCAAGGCAAUGAUGGGUAGCCGGGUUGAGAGACCGACCGGCCAGAUUGGGACUGAGACACGGCCCAGACUCCUACGGGAGGCAGCAGUU
RNAcentral lists this ribosomal RNA (257 nucleotides) under uncultured Atopobium sp. RNAcentral describes it as "partial 16S ribosomal RNA". It matches the Rfam family "Bacterial small subunit ribosomal RNA", at positions 99 to 355 of the family's 1533-position model. Lineage: Bacteria; Bacillati; Actinomycetota; Coriobacteriia; Coriobacteriales; Atopobiaceae. The record is from RNAcentral.